Pyrus x bretschneideri (Chinese white pear) is the source of this 341-nucleotide long non-coding RNA. RefSeq lists it as uncharacterized. The transcript has 4 exons. The record is from RefSeq and is a predicted model, not a curated record. NCBI's taxonomy places the organism in Eukaryota, Viridiplantae, Streptophyta, Magnoliopsida, Rosales, Rosaceae.
GAUUGAUUGUUGUGAAUUUGGGCUAUUUGGCUUUUUUGCCCAGCGUUUUCUUUGUUUUCCCGCGCUCUACGUCUGGUUGUUAUCUCUGAUUUUGCAUUUUGGUUGCAAGAAACAUUUUUCUUCGAGUUUUAGGGUUUUAUUCUUCCUAGCUUUUUCUGGGUCAGGUCUGAGCAUUCUGGUUAGCAGGCCCGCUUAGUUGAAUCAGCUAAGUUUCAUGUCUGACAUCGACGUACUGCUUCCACUGCCUUUGAUCAGAAUUUUUAAACGACAAAAUUAACCUGCAAAUUCAGUUCAGAUUAAGAUUUUUUAGCGAGAGAAUCAUGUUCAAAAUUCAAUUGAGG